GGUUCUUGUUGUCUGAGUUUCUACGUCUGGACUUGCACACCUGUUCCUGAUUGUGCUGAUAUUCACCUAUAUAAACCCUGCCCUGUUGUAUACUCGUUGUCAGAUCGUUUGUUCCUGUUGGUUCCUGUUUGCUGUUAUUCUGACUCCUGUUUUUUGAUCCUCUGCUCAUCCUUCAUAUCUGCCUGUCUGCUGCCUGUCCUGACCUUU
This is a non-coding RNA of Pelobates cultripes (western spadefoot toad), 207 nucleotides long. NCBI's taxonomy places the organism in Eukaryota, Metazoa, Chordata, Amphibia, Anura, Pelobatidae. The record is from the annotation of a GenBank genome assembly.